UACGGAGGGUGCAAGUGUUAUUCGGAAUCACUGGGCGUAAAGAGCACGUAGGCGGAUAGGCGAGUCAGAUGUGAAAUCCCGGAGCUCAACUCCGGAACUGCAUUUGAUACUGCCUGUCUUGAGUGAGGUAGAGGGGAGUGGAAUUCCCGGUGUAGAGGUGAAAUUCGUAGAUAUCGGGAGGAACACCAGAGGCGAAGGCGACUCCCUGGGCCUCUACUGACGCUGAGGUGCGAAAGCGUGGGGAGCAAACAGGAUUAGAUA
This 261-nucleotide ribosomal RNA is filed under the name uncultured prokaryote. RNAcentral describes it as "partial 16S ribosomal RNA". It matches the Rfam family "Bacterial small subunit ribosomal RNA", at positions 524 to 784 of the family's 1533-position model. The record is from RNAcentral.